GGCCAGCUCCACAUUGUGUGCCAUUAUUGGUUGGGGAAGUGCAGUGCUGACAUUUAUUGGCACCAUUUAUUCCUGUGUUCUGCUUGCAAUCGAUAUUGACAGAUAUCAACAUGAAAGGGAAAAACCGGAUGGAACGCUAUACUUUGUUAGUGAUUUCGAUUUAACCGAAGUGAUUAUUGCUGUGGUGGCCUUUGCAGCCAUGUUUAUUGCUUCCGUUUUAUUAAUUGUGGGACUUCGCAAGAAACGUCAUCAGUACAUAGCCAUUUGGAUUGGUGUCACCGCUGUUUGUAUUGUCCUGAAUGUUUUGCGGCUAAUACGCAGCCAACGUUCAAUGGCUCAAAAUCUUCUAACAGUGGGUAUCCAAGUGUGUUUAUGGUAUCCCAUUGUCAGCUAUUAUCGGGACAUGCGUAAAGAU
Molecule: long non-coding RNA, 415 nt
Organism: Musca vetustissima
Lineage: Eukaryota; Metazoa; Arthropoda; Insecta; Diptera; Muscidae
Exons: 4
Source: RefSeq, a predicted model, not a curated record